Molecule: ribosomal RNA, 371 nt
Filed under: uncultured organism
Description: bacterial SSU rRNA
Rfam family: Bacterial small subunit ribosomal RNA
Source: RNAcentral
GGGGGAGCAAGCGUUGUUCGGAUUUACUGGGCGUAAAGGGCGGUAGGCGGCCACCGCAAGUCGACUGUGAAAUCUCCGGGCUUAACCCGGAAAGGUCAGCCGAUACUGCGGGGCUAGAGUGCAGAAGGGGCAACUGGAAUUCUCGGUGUAGCGGUGAAAUGCGUAGAUAUCGAGAGGAACACCUGCGGCGAAGGCGGGUUGCUGGGCUGACACUGACGCUGAACUGCGAAAGCUAGGGGAGCGAACGGGAUUAGAUACCCCGGUAGUCCUAGCCUUAAACGAUGAAUGCUUGGUGUCUGGGGUUUUAUAGUCCCCGGGUGCCGUCGCUAACGCUUUAAGCAUUCCGCCUGGGGAGUACGGUCGCAAGACUG